GGGGCUGUGGUUCUGUGGCAGAGCAUUUGCUUGGCAUGCAGGAAGCCCCAGCUUCAAUCCCUGGCAUCUCCA
RNAcentral lists this transfer RNA (72 nucleotides) under Sphaerodactylus townsendi. Its description in RNAcentral is "tRNA-Ala". It matches the Rfam family "tRNA". From Rfam's summary of the family: Transfer RNA (tRNA) molecules are approximately 80 nucleotides in length. Lineage: Eukaryota; Metazoa; Chordata; Lepidosauria; Squamata; Sphaerodactylidae. The record is from RNAcentral.